This 486-nucleotide ribosomal RNA is filed under the name uncultured bacterium. Its description in RNAcentral is "partial 16S ribosomal RNA". It matches the Rfam family "Bacterial small subunit ribosomal RNA", at positions 30 to 507 of the family's 1533-position model. The record is from RNAcentral.
AUUGAACGCUGGCGGCAUGCCUUACACAUGCAAGUCGAACGGCAGCACGGGUGCUUGCACCUGGUGGCGAGUGGCGAACGGGUGAGUAAUACAUCGGAACAUGUCCUGUAGUGGGGGAUAGCCCGGCGAAAGCCGGAUUAAUACCGCAUACGAUCUACGGAUGAAAGCGGGGGACCUUCGGGCCUCGCGCUAUAGGGUUGGCCGAUAGCUGAUUAGCUAGUUGGUGGGGUAAAGGCCUACCAAGGCGACGAUCAGUAGCUGGUCUGAGAGGACGACCAGCCACACUGGGACUGAGACGCGGCCCAGACUCCUACGGGAGGCAGCAGUGGGGAAUUUUGGACAAUGGGCGAAAGCCUGAUCCAGCAAUGCCGCGUGUGUGAAGAAGGCCUUCGGGUUGUAAAGCACUUUUGUCCGGAAAGAAAUCCUUGGCUCUAAUACAGUCGGGGGAUGACGGUACCGGAAGAAUAAGCACCGGCUAACUACGUG